Molecule: long non-coding RNA, 1017 nt
Organism: Hemibagrus wyckioides
Lineage: Eukaryota; Metazoa; Chordata; Actinopteri; Siluriformes; Bagridae
Exons: 3
Source: RefSeq, a predicted model, not a curated record
UGAUCCAGCAGAACGUUCUCUGGUUUCAGGUCUCUGUGGAUGAUGCCUUGGCCAUGGAGGAAUCUCAGAGCCUCCAGAACACAGGUUGUGUAGAAACGGACUGCGCUUUCAUCAAACGGACCUCUGAAACCAACAAGUGCUCUGUCCCCGAAGCUGUCUCCUCUGGAGAGGACGGACACGCACACGCUGUCCUCGCUGACCGAGCGCCUCUCUAACACUUCCACCUGACGGACGAUCAGAAAGACACGUCUGAGCCCAUCUGAGUUGGUGUAAAUAGUUAUGGUGCAACAUUUGAAGAUCGACUAUUAGGUUCCUCACCUGGCCACUGGUCACGAUGAAGAAGGUGUCUCCAGGAACGCCGUGUCUCACGAUGUAGUCCCUGUCUCUGUAAUGACACUGCCCAAAAAGCGUGCAUCGCAACAUAAAGUAGUGACCCGAGUGAUUACAAAUAGAACGCUAUAUCACGAGAGGAUGGAAGAUCUUACCUCCUGCAGAACGUCUGAGAUUUUAAUGAGAUCAUCCUCCGGUAAAGCGCAGAGCAACGGCACACUGAGAAAGAGAAUAAACAGAAGGAAGUGGCCUAACAGAAUGUUAGUGUUUUUCUUGCCGUGGGCCAGAACAUUGCCUCGUCUCGCCUCGCCUCCUUUUAUAACUGAAGCUGAAUACAGCUGCAUGAUGUCUGUAGAGCUGGAUUAGAAAUAUCCUAGGAAGGUUUAAUAGAAUAGAAAACUCUCGCAAUUAUGUUUGGUGUUUGAACGGCUUGUUCAAGGUCUGACUUUUGUUCACAUUUCUAAAGAAGCUGCGCUUUAUUAAGGUUCUGACCUGCGGAGAACAUCCACACACUGAGUGAUGCGGAGAACACUGCUCCUCUGCAUGAUUCUCUCAAACACCUGACGCUCCAGCACCCACAGCUUACUGCUCACCAGUGCUGAGAGACAGAGAGAGAGAGAGAGAGAGAGAGAGAGAGGUGAGAGAGAGAGGAGAGAGAGAGAGAGAGAGAGAGAGAGAGGUGAGAGA